This 1427-nucleotide ribosomal RNA is filed under the name Salmonella enterica subsp. enterica serovar Enteritidis. RNAcentral's name for it is "partial 23S ribosomal RNA". It matches the Rfam family "Bacterial large subunit ribosomal RNA", at positions 1241 to 2650 of the family's 2925-position model. The record is from RNAcentral. Lineage: Bacteria; Pseudomonadati; Pseudomonadota; Gammaproteobacteria; Enterobacterales; Enterobacteriaceae.
CUGUAAGCCUGCGAAGGUGGCCUGUGAGGGUUGCUGGAGGUAUCAGAAGUGCGAAUGCUGACAUAAGUAACGAUAAAGCGGGUGAAAAGCCCGCUCGCCGGAAGACCAAGGGUUCCUGUCCAACGUUAAUCGGGGCAGGGUGAGUCGACCCCUAAGGCGAGGCCGAAAGGCGUAGUCGAUGGGAAACGGGUUAAUAUUCCCGUACUUGGUGUUACUGCGAAGGGGGGACGGAGAAGGCUAUGUUGGCCGGGCGACGGUUGUCCCGGUUUAAGCGUGUAGGUGUGUGUUCCAGGUAAAUCCGGUUCACUUUAACACUGAGGCGUGACGACGAGGCACUACGGUGCUGAAGCAACAAAUGCCCUGCUUCCAGGAAAAGCCUCUAAGCAUCAGGUAACAUCAAAUCGUACCCCAAACCGACACAGGUGGUCAGGUAGAGAAUACCAAGGCGCUUGAGAGAACUCGGGUGAAGGAACUAGGCAAAAUGGUGCCGUAACUUCGGGAGAAGGCACGCUGACACGUAGGUGAAGUGAUUUACUCAUGGAGCUGAAGUCAGUCGAAGAUACCAGCUGGCUGCAACUGUUUAUUAAAAACACAGCACUGUGCAAACACGAAAGUGGACGUAUACGGUGUGACGCCUGCCCGGUGCCGGAAGGUUAAUUGAUGGGGUCAGCGCAAGCGAAGCUCCUGAUCGAAGCCCCGGUAAACGGCGGCCGUAACUAUAACGGUCCUAAGGUAGCGAAAUUCCUUGUCGGGUAAGUUCCGACCUGCACGAAUGGCGUAAUGAUGGCCAGGCUGUCUCCACCCGAGACUCAGUGAAAUUGAACUCGCUGUGAAGAUGCAGUGUACCCGCGGCAAGACGGAAAGACCCCGUGAACCUUUACUAUAGCUUGACACUGAACAUUGAGCCUUGAUGUGUAGGAUAGGUGGGAGGCUUUGAAGUGUGGACGCCAGUCUGCAUGGAGCCGACCUUGAAAUACCACCCUUUAAUGUUUGAUGUUCUAACGUGGACCCGUUACCCGGGUUGCGGACAGUGUCUGGUGGGUAGUUUGACUGGGGCGGUCUCCUCCUAAAGAGUAACGGAGGAGCACGAAGGUUGGCUAAUCCUGGUCGGACAUCAGGAGGUUAGUGCAAUGGCAUAAGCCAGCUUGACUGCGAGCGUGACGGCGCGAGCAGGUGCGAAAGCAGGUCAUAGUGAUCCGGUGGUUCUGAAUGGAAGGGCCAUCGCUCAACGGAUAAAAGGUACUCCGGGGAUAACAGGCUGAUACCGCCCAAGAGUUCAUAUCGACGGCGGUGUUUGGCACCUCGAUGUCGGCUCAUCACAUCCUGGGGCUGAAGUAGGUCCCAAGGGUAUGGCUGUUCGCCAUUUAAAGUGGUACGCGAGCUGGGUUUAGAACGUCGUGAGACAGUUCGGUCCCUAUCUGCCGUGG